GCCCUUCCGAAUUCGUCGACAACAGAGUUUGAUCCUGGCUCAGAAUGAACGCUGGCGGCGUGCUUAACACAUGCAAGUCUUACGGGAAAGCUCCUUCGGGAACCGGUACAGUGGCGGACGGGUGAGUAAUGCAUAGGAACGUGCCCUUAGAUGGGGAAUAACCAGGGGAAACCUUGGCUAAUACCGCAUAUAUCCAUGGAUGAAAGGUGGCUUCGGCUACCGUCUAAGGAUCGGCCUAUGUCGCAUUAGCUAGUAGGUGAGGUAAUGGCUCACCUAGGCGACGAUGCGUAGCUGGUCUGAGAGGAUGAUCAGCCACACUGGGACUGAGAUACGGCCCAGACUCCUACGGGAGGCAGCAGUGGGGAAUUUUGCACAAUGGGGGAAACCCUGAUGCAGCAACGCCGCGUGAGUGAAGAAGGCCUUGCGGUCGUAAAGCUC
Molecule: ribosomal RNA, 438 nt
Filed under: uncultured bacterium
Lineage: Bacteria
Description: partial 16S ribosomal RNA
Rfam family: Bacterial small subunit ribosomal RNA
Source: RNAcentral